Molecule: ribosomal RNA, 465 nt
Filed under: Vreelandella stevensii
Lineage: Bacteria; Pseudomonadati; Pseudomonadota; Gammaproteobacteria; Oceanospirillales; Halomonadaceae
Description: partial 16S ribosomal RNA
Rfam family: Bacterial small subunit ribosomal RNA
Source: RNAcentral
CCUACGGGAGGCAGCAGUGGGGAAUAUUGGACAAUGGGCGAAAGCCUGAUCCAGCCAUGCCGCGUGUGUGAAGAAGGCCUUCGGGUUGUAAAGCACUUUCAGUGGGGAAGAAAGCCUUGGGGCUAAUACCCUCGAGGAAGGACAUCACCCACAGAAGAAGCACCGGCUAACUCCGUGCCAGCAGCCGCGGUAAUACGGAGGGUGCGAGCGUUAAUCGGAAUUACUGGGCGUAAAGUGCGCGUAGGCGGUCUGAUAAGCCGGUUGUGAAAGCCCCGGGCUCAACCUGGGAACGGCAUCCGGAACUGUCAGGCUAGAGUGCAGGAGAGGAAGGUAGAAUUCCCGGUGUAGCGGUGAAAUGCGUAGAGAUCGGGAGGAAUACCAGUGGCGAAGGCGGCCUUCUGGACUGACACUGACGCUGAGGUGCGAAAGCGUGGGUAGCAAACAGGAUUAGAUACCCUGGUAGUC